RNAcentral lists this unclassified non-coding RNA (245 nucleotides) under plant metagenome. Its description in RNAcentral is "partial contains small subunit ribosomal RNA, internal transcribed spacer 1, and 5.8S ribosomal RNA". The record is from RNAcentral.
UCUCCGCUGGUGAACCAGCGGAGGGAUCAUUACCGAGUUUACAACUCCCAAACCCAAUGUGAACCAUACCAAACUGUUGCCUCGGCGGGGUCACGCCCCGGGUGCGUCGCAGCCCCGGAACCAGGCGCCCGCCGGAGGGACCAACCAAACUCUUUCUGUAGUCCCCUCGCGGACGUUAUUUCUUACAGCUCUGAGCAAAAAUUCAAAAUGAAUCAAAACUUUCAACAACGGAUCUCUUGGUUCUG